Long non-coding RNA from Herpailurus yagouaroundi (jaguarundi), 406 nucleotides. RefSeq lists it as uncharacterized. The transcript is spliced from 2 exons. NCBI's taxonomy places the organism in Eukaryota, Metazoa, Chordata, Mammalia, Carnivora, Felidae. The record is from RefSeq and is a predicted model, not a curated record.
UAUAAGGAAGGUGUCAGAAAAUAUCUGGGGCUUUCUCUCACCUUUUAUUAGACUGCCUUUGUCUUACCUUUUGCAUAAUAUGCAGAUUCUCAUGCGGCUGAUUUUCCCACAGGUGAGGAUGAGGACCAAUCCUCAGAGGUUGGAGGCUGGAUUCAAUUCAUGCUUGGGAUUACACUUUCCCCAAGAGGCUGAGUUGUGUCCCCUCAGAAUUCAUAUAUUGAAGCCCUGACCCCCAGGACCCCAGAAUGUGACUGUAUUUGGAGACAGAACCUUUACAGGGGUAAUUAAGCUAAAAGGAGGCCUUUCGGGUGGGGCUUAAUCCAAUCUGGGAUCAAAACAGUGGUUUUGGCAAAAAACAAACAAACAAACAAACAAACAAAAAAAAAAACCAGACACAUCUUAUCAG